ACUUAAAUAGCUCAAACUUAGAGCGUAAUAUUGAAGAUAUUAAGGUAAUUUUAAAUUUUUAAGUA
Molecule: transfer RNA, 65 nt
Filed under: Hybosorus sp. HYB01
Lineage: Eukaryota; Metazoa; Arthropoda; Insecta; Coleoptera; Hybosoridae
Also listed under: 1 other name
Description: tRNA-Phe
Source: RNAcentral